CCUCAACAAGCCAAGGAGGGAAUCAGACCCCACAUCCACCUGAUGGGUUUAACUCCCUUUGAAAUUAUGUAUGGAAAACCUGCCCCUAUUAUUCCAAACCUCCAGGCAGCAGCCCUAAUGGAUA
Molecule: long non-coding RNA, 124 nt
Organism: Hyaena hyaena (striped hyena)
Lineage: Eukaryota; Metazoa; Chordata; Mammalia; Carnivora; Hyaenidae
Exons: 3
Source: RefSeq, a predicted model, not a curated record